AUUGAACGCUGGCGGCAGGCCUAACACAUUCAAGUCGAAUGGUAACAGGAAACAGCUUGCUGUUUCGCUGACGAGUGGCGGACGGGUGAGUAAUGUCUGGGAAACUGCCUGAUGGAGGGGGAUAACUACUGGAAACGGUAGCUAAUACCGCAUAACGUCGCAAGACCAAAGAGGGGGACCUUCGGGCCUCUUGCCAUCAGAUGUGCCCAGAUGGGAUUAGCUAGUAGGUGGGGUAACGGCUCACCUAGGCGACGAUCCCUAGCUGGUCUGAGAGGAUGACCAGCCACACUGGAACUGAGACACGGUCCAGACUCCUACGGGAGGCAGCAGUGGGGAAUAUUGCACAAUGGGCGCAAGCCUGAUGCAGCCAUGCCGCGUGUAUGAAGAAGGCCUUCGGGUUGUAAAGUACUUUCAGCGGGGAGGAAGGGAGUAAAGUUAAUACCUUUGCUCAUUGACGUUACCCGCAGAAGAAGCACCGGCUAACUCCGUG
Molecule: ribosomal RNA, 490 nt
Filed under: uncultured bacterium
Lineage: Bacteria
Description: partial 16S ribosomal RNA
Rfam family: Bacterial small subunit ribosomal RNA
Source: RNAcentral